UGGCGGCAGGCCUAACACAUGCAAGUCGAGCGGUAACAUUUCUAGCUUGCUAGAAGAUGACGAGCGGCGGACGGGUGAGUAACGCGUAGAAAUCUACCUAGUAGUGGGGGAUAGCCCAGAGAAAUUUGGAUUUAAUACCGCAUACGCCCUACGGGGGAAAGCGGGGGGAUCUUCGGACCUCGUGCUAUUAGAUGAGUCUGCGUCGGAUUAGCUUGUUGGUGAGGUAAUGGCUCACCAAGGCGACGAUCCGUAGCUGGUCUGAGAGGAUGACCAGCCACACUGGAACUGAGACACGGUCCAGACUCCUACGGGAGGCAGCAGUGGGGAAUAUUGCACAAUGGGCGCAAGCCUGAUGCAGCCAUGCCGCGUGUGUGAAGAAGGCCUUAGGGUUGUAAAGCACUUUCAGCAGUGAGGAAAGGGGUGUCGUUAAUAGCGCCAUCCUGUGACGUUAACUGCAGAAGAAGGACCGGCUAACUCCGUG
RNAcentral lists this ribosomal RNA (481 nucleotides) under uncultured bacterium. RNAcentral's name for it is "bacterial SSU rRNA". It matches the Rfam family "Bacterial small subunit ribosomal RNA", at positions 37 to 507 of the family's 1533-position model. The record is from RNAcentral.